Molecule: small nucleolar RNA, 94 nt
Organism: Humulus lupulus (European hop)
Lineage: Eukaryota; Viridiplantae; Streptophyta; Magnoliopsida; Rosales; Cannabaceae
Source: RefSeq, a predicted model, not a curated record
GAUUGGCUAUGAUGAUGUAAUCUCAGCUUAAAUGCCAGUUCUGCUUCAGAAAAUUCUUGAUCGAAAGAGCUGUUUACAACAAGCUGAGCCUUUU